AUUGAACGCUGGCGGCAGGCCUAACACAUACAAGUCGAGCGGUAGCACAGAGAGCUUGCUCUCGGGUGACGAGCGGCGGACGGGUGAGUAAUGUCUGGGAAACUGCCUGAUGGAGGGGGAUAGCUACUGGAAACGGUAGCUAAUACCGCAUAACGUCGCAAGACCAAAGAGGGGGACCUUCGGGCCUCUUGCCAACAGAUGUGCCCAGAUGGGAUUAGCUAGUAGGUGGGGUAACGGCUCACCUAGGCGACGAUCCCUAGCUGGUCUGAGAGGAUGACCAGCCACACUGGAACUGAGACACGGUCCAGACUCCUACGGGAGGCAGCAGUGGGGAAUAUUGCACAAUGGGCGCAAGCCUGAUGCAGCCAUGCCGCGUGUAUGAAGAAGGCCUUCGGGUUGUAAAGUACUUUCAGCGGGGAGGAAGGCGAUAAGGUUAAUAACCUUGUCGAUUGACGUUACCCGCAGAAGAAGCACUGGCUAACUCCGUGCCAGCCGCCGCAGUAA
RNAcentral lists this ribosomal RNA (504 nucleotides) under uncultured bacterium. RNAcentral describes it as "partial 16S ribosomal RNA". It matches the Rfam family "Bacterial small subunit ribosomal RNA", at positions 30 to 523 of the family's 1533-position model. The record is from RNAcentral.